This 22-nucleotide non-coding RNA is filed under the name Arabidopsis thaliana (thale cress). The record is from RNAcentral. Lineage: Eukaryota; Viridiplantae; Streptophyta; Magnoliopsida; Brassicales; Brassicaceae.
UUGGCUAGGGAUCUAUGUCGCA